AGUGAACGCUGGCGGUAGGCCUAACACAUGCAAGUCGAACGGCAGCACAGUAAGAGCUUGCUCUUACGGGUGGCGAGUGGCGGACGGGUGAGGAAUACAUCGGAAUCUACUUUUUCGUGGGGGAUAACGUAGGGAAACUUACGCUAAUACCGCAUACGACCUACGGGUGAAAGCAGGGGAUCUUCGGACCUUGCGCGAUUGAAUGAGCCGAUGUCGGAUUAGCUAGUUGGCGGGGUAAAGGCCCACCAAGGCGACGAUCCGUAGCGGGUCUGAGAGGAUGGUCAGCCACACUGGAACUGAGACAGGGUCCAGACUCCUACGGGAGGCAGCAGUGGGGAAUAGUGGACAAUGGGGGCAAGCCUGAUCCAGCCAUACCGCGUGGGUGAAGAAGGCGUUCGGGUUGUAAAGCCCUUUUGUUGGGAGAGAAAAGCAGCAGGUUAAUACCCCGCUGUUCUGACGGUACCCAAAGAAUAAGCACCGGCUAACUUCGUG
RNAcentral lists this ribosomal RNA (492 nucleotides) under uncultured bacterium. RNAcentral's name for it is "partial 16S ribosomal RNA". It matches the Rfam family "Bacterial small subunit ribosomal RNA", at positions 29 to 507 of the family's 1533-position model. The record is from RNAcentral.